RNAcentral lists this long non-coding RNA (520 nucleotides) under Cyanistes caeruleus (blue tit). RNAcentral describes it as "lncRNA (ENSCCEG00000012973.1)". The record is from RNAcentral. Lineage: Eukaryota; Metazoa; Chordata; Aves; Passeriformes; Paridae.
AUGCAGUGGCUGCAGAGCUGGGAGCAUGAGACACUCCACCUCUGCACAAGAGAGGAGAACAGAGAGAGAGAGAGACAUCAUCAGUGAUGGGGAUUUCAGGAGACAACCAUUCCUUCUGCGUCCAUCAUGCAUUCACUUCAGAUCAAAACCGUUCUACAGUUUCCAAAUGCUUUUUCAUUCUAAAGGUAAAACAUUUCACAGGAAGAUGUGAAGGCCAUCAGUGGGUGCCUACUGCAGGACGCGCCUGUGUCUGAGCUCUAGGGCCACAAAGAUCCAGCAUUUCAGAGCAGAGGUGUGAAACCCAGCACAAGCAAUGCUCCUGCCUUUCCCAGUGCACUGGAGGAACAUGCAUGGUUUCACUGAGCAGGUAAAGAAAAUUUUGACGGGGACCGCCCACCAGAACUGCAAUGAAGUAGAACUGGAGAGCAGAGGAUAGCUCUACUCUCUCUAGACACAGCUCUUGAAGAAAUCAUCUGGUCUACAGCAGCCAGCCAGCAUAAAUAUCUGCUUUGAAGUAAUC